Long non-coding RNA from Taeniopygia guttata (zebra finch), 3450 nucleotides. The record is from Ensembl. NCBI's taxonomy places the organism in Eukaryota, Metazoa, Chordata, Aves, Passeriformes, Estrildidae.
AGGUUUGAAUAUUUAGUAAUCUUAAUCUGUGCCUAUUGGGUUGUAUGUGUAUAUAUGAAUGUAAUGAGUUUGCUGCCAGAAAAAUAAAACUUUAAAAAAUAGAUUUUUUUUUUUCCCUGUGGAGACUGUCUGCAGGUGGCUCCUUGUCAUUUCAUUAGUGUGAAGCCAACUCCAUUUUUUGUCUUGUUGUCAGCCUCUUUGCAUUCUUGGUGUGUGGUUACUUUGAAGAUAGUUAUAAUUGUGAGUAUCCUCUGAGGUCAGCCUAAAUCUUGCAGCAUUGUGCUUCCCCAGUAGAUUUAUAUUCAUGCAGCUCAUCAGUUCUCUGCAGAUGUAACAUGUGAAGUCUUAGAAGCAAUUUGGUGUUGUAAGCACAGCAUUACUUUAAGCUAAUAAACUUUGCCUCUCAACAAAGCUAAUUGCCUUAGAUAAAGCAGUGAACUGAUAAGAUUUCAUGGUGUCUGGUGCCUGAGCAAGCCUAGUCCCUGUUAAUGCCAGUAGCUGCAUUUCCAGUGUAGUACAGUUAAUACAGGAAUAGCAUCUGUGAGGGCCACGGUAUUUAGCAUUCCCUGGUUCUCAGCUGAAUAAAUUCACUUGAGUGCUGAAAUUAAAAGCUUGGCUUUUAUGUCAAGGAGGUGUAUUUUUUUCAUGCCCACCAGCAUUCUUGAAUAAGCCUUGUUUUUGUGCUCCAAAAUGCAAGAUGAGAAAUGUCAGACUGAACUUACUGAAUAAACAGAGGUGCUUUAUGAGCUAAAGGAUAUUUAUCUGUAUCUAUAGAUACGUUUAAAUGUGGGGGAGCGCUUUGGAGGACAAAACUAUUCCAGAGUUGCCAAUUUGUUUAGUAACUGAAGGUAAUGUACCUAUUGUGCUAGGGUUCACCAUAAAAAAGGUUAAUUUAUUUGCACUCUUAGAAGCAAAUUUGGUCACGUACUACUUCUUCUUGUCAUGCAACAACAGGAAAAUUACAAUGUUUUUGGUUUUUUAGGUCUUUUUAGAUGGAUGUACUAGGACUAUUUGUUGCCGUCUCACUUUGCACUUCUUAUCUGCUCUGACACCUAAAGGUCUUUACUGGUACCUAGUUUGUAGUUACACUUAGGAGAAUUUAAAGGCUUCUGUACCUACUGCAGGUUGUGUAGGGUGCUCUGCUGUCAGCUCCUCAUGUAUCUUGUGCUGCUCUCUGAGGACAUGUGAUUCCAGUCAUUGUAACCCUCUGUUCAAAAUGUCUGACUUGCUGCCUUCAGUGAUUGUCAUUUCUGUGCCUUCUUCAUAAUGUUGAGAAUGACUAAGGAAUCUUUUGAUUUUAUUUAUCCUUUUUUUUUUCUAUGGGAUGAGUGAAUAGAGUCCCCUUUUCCAAAACAUUCACAAAUAAGUUGUCAAGUAAAUUUCACAAUUCUUUAAUUUGGCAAAGAGUAAACUCCCAAUCUUUGUCAUUUUAAGUCACUCAGUUAUCUAAAUUGACUAUCAUACCUCAGACAUAACAAACUGUGGUGGGGAUAACCAUGUUCAUGUUAUGCCAUCUCCAAAUAGCCUACUGUUUCUAUUUUUUUUUUUUUUCCAGCUGCAAUGGCUAAGGGUAAACUUAAUUCAACUUUCAUCACCAAAUGCCAUCUAGUUCUCCUUUAUUCACUACUUUAUUGGUGAACUUAUAGAGAUAUUUUAGACUCAUCAAACACAGUUGUCCUAGUUAGAGGCUGACCUUGGUUGCAUCCCAUCUUACUGUAACCUGAGGUAUGGUAGUGCUAAAGUUGCAGAAGGCAUUGGUAUGAGAGACAUAAAAUGAUGUUUUGGAACAAGGUCUUUAUAUUCUAGGAAAGUCAGUCUGAGAGGAAGAUGAUUAAGCUGAAAAACUCAGAGGUUGUUUUUCAAAAAAGACCCAGUUUUCAGGAAAUUUUACGUGACUUAUUUUUCAACUUUUAAUUACAAAUAUUUAAUUCUCAAACUUCAGACAUUUUUUAACUCAGUUUCUUCUCUCCUGGCUCCUUACUGAACGGAGUUUAAGUACAAGGUUUUAAUAAGCAGGCUUGAAUUAUCUAAUGGAGAAAAAAAGAAUAUGGUUCUUCAAUUUUUUCAAAGCUGAUAUGUCCUCAUGAUACAUUAUAAAGGAUGCAGAAAGAUGUUAACAGUGGAAGAGUUAUAUUCACUACUUUCUGUGAUAUUCAAAUGAUUUUGACUUACUCUGACAUUUGUAGUUUCACAAGAAUGAAAUGUUCAUGAAUCUUCAUGGAUUGUUUUUUUUCCUCUCUGUGACAGUGGGUUUAAAAGCCUUAUAUAUGUAUUAGUAUUUAUGUCUUUCCUAUUAGAGUUAUGACUUGCAGCAGCCUCUGUUAGUGGUAAAGAUUGUUUUAUAAAAGUAAGGAGACAGGAAUUACUUUCCAGUCAAUUAUUACAUUUAUGUAAAACAAUUCACUAUCAAUUGUAUGAAAAAAAAACUGUGAGUCAGCACCUCUAACACUGACUUUGAAAUAUUCUUAAACUAAACUGGAGGACUGCAUGUAGAUAGUAUGCUUAAAAAUUAGAUUUCAAUAUCAGUUCUGUCCUAUUGUGUUCUGAAUGCUUUAAGAAUAUCAAAGUUGUCAUUUCUUUGUAUAUCUUUGGGUGAUAUCUUUGAAAGAAAAGCAUUUAAGACCCCAGCAUACUACUGAAGCAUGCAUUGUGAGGUGACAGCAACCAAUAACUUCUGGAGCUCUCUGUGCAAAGCUGUGAUCCUCAUAGUGGAGAGAACCUGAAGAGUCCCAGAUAAAUUUUCAUUUUCUUUCCUCCCCUCCCCACCUUGCUGCUAGUCACUUAGCAGAUCAGCAGGAUCUUUAACCUCACUUCUGCAUUUUUUCUUGCUGCUUGUUUAUCUUUGCAGGACUGGAUUGAGCUUUUCCCUUUUCCCUAGAAUGCCAGGCAUUUCUCCACUGCUUCUCUCUGGUGAUGGUUUGAAUUUGACCUCCUUCUGUCCUCUGUGUAGAUGGCAAAUAGCUUUGUGCACUGUUACUUCCCAGGCAUUUUUGUAGGCCUUCAUACAUUUUUGUGGACAUUUGUAGAAACAGCUUGCACACAAGGCAAAGUAGCUGUCCCUGAGCAGCUGGGUAUUUAUGACCCAUUAACAUGUGCUGAGUUUUGAGACUUUGUCAAAUGAUGAUACAGAGCUGGAGUACUGAUCAUGAGGGAGGUAUUUGCUGCCUCAGUGCUUAGCACUUCAAUGCAAUUUUUUAUUGCUUUGAUGUUAUAUUUAGUGGUGUGUUGGGAAGUGUUUUGUGCUUACAGAAUCAGGCUCUUUGUGCUGCUAUUUUAUGCAGUAUGUCUGGCUGGAAAUUCUCUUCUUUGUGUUAGCUGAUUCUCCAUCAAAGAAAAUUUGAGACUACCUUUUUUUUUUUUUUUUUUUUUUUUUUACGCUUUGGAAACCAAGCUGGUCACAGCUGUGUUACUUAGGGUAACUGUCUGUAACCAGAGCCUUUGACAGCUUGA